This 2903-nucleotide ribosomal RNA is filed under the name Escherichia coli UMEA 3656-1. RNAcentral describes it as "bacterial LSU rRNA". It matches the Rfam family "Bacterial large subunit ribosomal RNA". The record is from RNAcentral. Lineage: Bacteria; Pseudomonadati; Pseudomonadota; Gammaproteobacteria; Enterobacterales; Enterobacteriaceae.
UUAAGCGACUAAGCGUACACGGUGGAUGCCCUGGCAGUCAGAGGCGAUGAAGGACGUGCUAAUCUGCGAUAAGCGUCGGUGAGGUGAUAUGAACCGUUAUAACCGGCGAUUUCCGAAUGGGGAAACCCAGUGUGUUUCGACACACUAUCAUUAACUGAAUCCAUAGGUUAAUGAGGCGAACCGGGGGAACUGAAACAUCUAAGUACCCCGAGGAAAAGAAAUCAACCGAGAUUCCCCCAGUAGCGGCGAGCGAACGGGGAGGAGCCCAGAGCCUGAAUCAGUGUGUGUGUUAGUGGAAGCGUCUGGAAAGGCGUGCGAUACAGGGUGACAGCCCCGUACACAAAAAUGCACAUACUGUGAGCUCGAUGAGUAGGGCGGGACACGUGGUAUCCUGUCUGAAUAUGGGGGGACCAUCCUCCAAGGCUAAAUACUCCUGACUGACCGAUAGUGAACCAGUACCGUGAGGGAAAGGCGAAAAGAACCCCGGCGAGGGGAGUGAAAAAGAACCUGAAACCGUGUACGUACAAGCAGUGGGAGCCUCUUAAUGGGGUGACUGCGUACCUUUUGUAUAAUGGGUCAGCGACUUAUAUUCUGUAGCAAGGUUAACCGAAUAGGGGAGCCGAAGGGAAACCGAGUCUUAACUGGGCGUUAAGUUGCAGGGUAUAGACCCGAAACCCGGUGAUCUAGCCAUGGGCAGGUUGAAGGUUGGGUAACACUAACUGGAGGACCGAACCGACUAAUGUUGAAAAAUUAGCGGAUGACUUGUGGCUGGGGGUGAAAGGCCAAUCAAACCGGGAGAUAGCUGGUUCUCCCCGAAAGCUAUUUAGGUAGCGCCUCGUGAAUUCAUCUCCGGGGGUAGAGCACUGUUUCGGCAAGGGGGUCAUCCCGACUUACCAACCCGAUGCAAACUGCGAAUACCGGAGAAUGUUAUCACGGGAGACACACGGCGGGUGCUAACGUCCGUCGUGAAGAGGGAAACAACCCAGACCGCCAGCUAAGGUCCCAAAGUCAUGGUUAAGUGGGAAACGAUGUGGGAAGGCCCAGACAGCCAGGAUGUUGGCUUAGAAGCAGCCAUCAUUUAAAGAAAGCGUAAUAGCUCACUGGUCGAGUCGGCCUGCGCGGAAGAUGUAACGGGGCUAAACCAUGCACCGAAGCUGCGGCAGCGACGCUUAUGCGUUGUUGGGUAGGGGAGCGUUCUGUAAGCCUGUGAAGGUGGCCUGUGAGGGUUGCUGGAGGUAUCAGAAGUGCGAAUGCUGACAUAAGUAACGAUAAAGCGGGUGAAAAGCCCGCUCGCCGGAAGACCAAGGGUUCCUGUCCAACGUUAAUCGGGGCAGGGUGAGUCGACCCCUAAGGCGAGGCCGAAAGGCGUAGUCGAUGGGAAACAGGUUAAUAUUCCUGUACUUGGUGUUACUGCGAAGGGGGGACGGAGAAGGCUAUGUUGGCCGGGCGACGGUUGUCCCGGUUUAAGCGUGUAGGCUGGUUUUCCAGGCAAAUCCGGAAAAUCAAGGCUGAGGCGUGAUGACGAGGCACUACGGUGCUGAAGCGACAAAUGCCCUGCUUCCAGGAAAAGCCUCUAAGCAUCAGGUAACAUCAAAUCGUACCCCAAACCGACACAGGUGGUCAGGUAGAGAAUACCAAGGCGCUUGAGAGAACUCGGGUGAAGGAACUAGGCAAAAUGGUGCCGUAACUUCGGGAGAAGGCACGCUGAUAUGUAGGUGAAGCGACUUGCUCGUGGAGCUGAAAUCAGUCGAAGAUACCAGCUGGCUGCAACUGUUUAUUAAAAACACAGCACUGUGCAAACACGAAAGUGGACGUAUACGGUGUGACGCCUGCCCGGUGCCGGAAGGUUAAUUGAUGGGGUUAGCGGUAACGCGAAGCUCUUGAUCGAAGCCCCGGUAAACGGCGGCCGUAACUAUAACGGUCCUAAGGUAGCGAAAUUCCUUGUCGGGUAAGUUCCGACCUGCACGAAUGGCGUAAUGAUGGCCAGGCUGUCUCCACCCGAGACUCAGUGAAAUUGAACUCGCUGUGAAGAUGCAGUGUACCCGCGGCAAGACGGAAAGACCCCGUGAACCUUUACUAUAGCUUGACACUGAACAUUGAGCCUUGAUGUGUAGGAUAGGUGGGAGGCUUUGAAGUGUGGACGCCAGUCUGCAUGGAGCCGACCUUGAAAUACCACCCUUUAAUGUUUGAUGUUCUAACGUUGGCCCCUAAUCGGGGUUGCGGACAGUGUCUGGUGGGUAGUUUGACUGGGGCGGUCUCCUCCUAAAGAGUAACGGAGGAGCACGAAGGUUGGCUAAUCCUGGUCGGACAUCAGGAGGUUAGUGCAAUGGCAUAAGCCAGCUUGACUGCGAGCGUGACGGCGCGAGCAGGUGCGAAAGCAGGUCAUAGUGAUCCGGUGGUUCUGAAUGGAAGGGCCAUCGCUCAACGGAUAAAAGGUACUCCGGGGAUAACAGGCUGAUACCGCCCAAGAGUUCAUAUCGACGGCGGUGUUUGGCACCUCGAUGUCGGCUCAUCACAUCCUGGGGCUGAAGUAGGUCCCAAGGGUAUGGCUGUUCGCCAUUUAAAGUGGUACGCGAGCUGGGUUUAGAACGUCGUGAGACAGUUCGGUCCCUAUCUGCCGUGGGCGCUGGAGAACUGAGGGGGGCUGCUCCUAGUACGAGAGGACCGGAGUGGACGCAUCACUGGUGUUCGGGUUGUCAUGCCAAUGGCACUGCCCGGUAGCUAAAUGCGGAAGAGAUAAGUGCUGAAAGCAUCUAAGCACGAAACUUGCCCCGAGAUGAGUUCUCCCUGAGACUUAGAGUCUCCUGAAGGAACGUUGAAGACGACGACGUUGAUAGGCCGGGUGUGUAAGCGCAGCGAUGCGUUGAGCUAACCGGUACUAAUGAACCGUGAGGCUUAACCUU